RNAcentral lists this ribosomal RNA (710 nucleotides) under uncultured archaeon. RNAcentral's name for it is "bacterial SSU rRNA". It matches the Rfam family "Archaeal small subunit ribosomal RNA", at positions 154 to 867 of the family's 1478-position model. The record is from RNAcentral.
CCAUAGAUCUAGAGCGCUGGAAUGCCUUUAGGUCGAAAACUCCGGUGCCUUAGGAUUGGUCUGCGGUCUAUCAGGCAGUAGUGGGUGUAACGGACCCACUAGCCCGUGACGGAUAUGGGCCUUGAGAGAGGGUGCCCAGAGAUGGACUCUGAGACAUGAGUCCAGGCCCUACGGGGCGCAGCAGUCGCGAAAACUUCGCAAUGGGGGAAACCCCGACGAGGGAAUUCCAAGUGCUAGCACUUUGUGUUAGCUGUUCUUCUGUCUAAAAAACAGGAGAAGUAAGGGGCGGGUAAGACGGGUGCCAGCCGCCGCGGUAAUACCCGCGCCCCGAGUGGUGGUCGAUAUUAUUGAGCCUAAAACGUUCGUAGCCGGUCUUCUAAAUCCUUGGGUAAAUCGGGCAGCUUAACUGUCCGAAUUCCGGGGAGACUGGGAGACUUGGGACCGGGAGAGGUCAGAGGUACUUCUGGGGUAGGGGUAAAAUCCUGUAAUCCUGGAAGGACCACCGGUGGCGAAGGCGUCUGACUAGAACGGAUCCGACGGUGAGAAACGAAGCCCUGGGGCGCAAACGGGAUUAGAUACCCCGGUAGUCCAGGGUGUAAACGCUGCGGGCUUGGUGUUGGGGGUCCUUAGGGGGCGCCCAGUGCCGGAGAGAAGUUGUUAAGCCUGCUGCUUGGGGAGUAUGUCCGCAAGGAUGAAACUUAAAGGAAUUG